CCUACGGGUGGCUGCAGUGGGGAAUAUUGCGCAAUGGGCGAAAGCCUGACGCAGCGACGCCGCGUGAGGGACGACGGCCUUCGGGUUGUAAACCUCUUUCAGCUCUGACGAAGCGAGAGUGACGGUAGGAGCAGAAGAAGCACCGGCCAACUACGUGCCAGCAGCCGCGGUAAUACGUAGGGUGCAAGCGUUGUCCGGAAUUAUUGGGCGUAAAGAGCUCGUAGGCGGUCUGUCGCGUCGAAUGUGAAAACCCGGGACUCAACUCCGGGACUGCAUUCGAGACGGGCAGACUAGAGUUCGGUAGGGGAGACUGGAAUUCCUGGUGUAGCGGUGAAAUGCGCAGAUAUCAGGAGGAACACCGGUGGCGAAGGCGGGUCUCUGGGCCGAUACUGACGCUGAGGAGCGAAAGCGUGGGGAGCGAACAGGAUUAGAUACCCGUGUAGUC
This 445-nucleotide ribosomal RNA is filed under the name uncultured bacterium. Its description in RNAcentral is "partial 16S ribosomal RNA". It matches the Rfam family "Bacterial small subunit ribosomal RNA", at positions 338 to 795 of the family's 1533-position model. The record is from RNAcentral.